This 429-nucleotide ribosomal RNA is filed under the name bacterium. RNAcentral describes it as "partial 16S ribosomal RNA". It matches the Rfam family "Bacterial small subunit ribosomal RNA", at positions 355 to 776 of the family's 1533-position model. The record is from RNAcentral.
UGGGGAAUUUUGGACAAUGGGCGCAAGCCUGAUCCAGCCAUGCCGCGUGCAGGAUGAAGGCCUUCGGGUUGUAAACUGCUUUUGUACGGAACGAAACGGCUCUUUCUAAUAAAGAGGGCUAAUGACGGUACCGUAAGAAUAAGCACCGGCUAACUACGUGCCAGCAGCCGCGGUAAUACGUAGGGUGCGAGCGUUAAUCGGAAUUACUGGGCGUAAAGCGUGCGCAGGCGGUGAUGUAAGACAGAUGUGAAAUCCCCGGGCUCAACCUGGGAACUGCAUUUGUGACUGCAUCGCUGGAGUGCGGCAGAGGGGGAUGGAAUUCCGCGUGUAGCAGUGAAAUGCGUAGAUAUGCGGAGGAACACCGAUGGCGAAGGCAAUCCCCUGGGCCUGCACUGACGCUCAUGCACGAAAGCGUGGGGAGCAAACAGG